ACGGUAAAAAUGCAGACAACUCUGCUUGAUCGAGAACAUGGUACUUCGAACCGAUUAAUCAUCGACUAAAGCGUUCCACAAGCUCCUGACCUUAAUGGUUAUAGAUAAACAUCAUGAAAAAGAUAUUCAACAAAAAUAUAUAAAACAAUUAUUGAGGGUUGAGAAGUUAAAUCAGAAUACAUCUGCAUUAAGGCAUCUCUAAUGAUAACACACUUUAUUACACAGAUCUAGUAUGCUUUUUUAAUUUUGGAUGAUCUGCUUUAAUCAAGAUUUCCAUGGUGAAAAUAAGGACCACUCUCACAUCCACACUUAAAUAUUGUAAAUAUAGUAUUGCAAUCUCAAACACAUUAUUGCAGCAGCAAUUACGUUGACGUAGUUGUACUAUUGCUAGAAUUUGUAGUGCAGCAAGUCUGGUGUUUUUUUAGCACUGGCCAACCAUUUUUUUAUUAGAGAUAGUAAUUCACAAUUGAAAGGUAAUCUUAGAAUAUAGAGUCGAUGUUUAGCAGUACCUUCUGUGGGCAGCCAAUCCACGUAAACUGGAUAAAAAUGGGUUCAUACUUCAUUCUCCGACUUAAAUCAAGGAUAGGCUCCUACCGCUUUCCGGUAAAGACAAAAUGCAAUCCGAUUAGUAGUAGACUCAAGGAAGCAUCAAUACAUAUAAUUUGUUAGAAUUUCUGUGUGAUGGUGGUAAUUUUGUUUCACGUCCCGACUAAUACAAAUACACCUGAAAUACAUAACACCCCACCAGAAAUCUAAGCUACAAAAACAUAUGCUUUGUCGACUUUUGAUACGUUUCAGACUUUGAUUUAAGCCAUUCAUAAAGUACCCAUUCAUGUUCAAAAUUGCAUAAAAGUGACAAGUAUUCGUGGAUGCAUGGACCUUCGUUUUGACAGUCUUGAUGGUCUUGUGAAUGCCUCAAAUAUGAGUGAUGGCUGGAGGAAACGUGUUCACUGCAGCAUGGGAGCUAAAUCACUCUAGCAGAUUAGUGCCAAACCUACCUCGUGUUUCCGUAGUCACAGGCUAGCAAGCAGAGCACAGUGAUAGUCAGAUAGUGGUAGGUGGGUAGAGAGACAAGAUCAAAUCGACCCACCCAAACCAAAAAAGUCAGCGAAUCCAUGA
Molecule: long non-coding RNA, 1119 nt
Filed under: Triticum aestivum (bread wheat)
Lineage: Eukaryota; Viridiplantae; Streptophyta; Magnoliopsida; Poales; Poaceae
Description: long non-coding RNA (TAES_LNC002759)
Source: RNAcentral